UGGGGAAUCUUGCACAAUGGUCGAAAGGCUGAUGCAGCGACGCCGCGUGGGGGAAGAAGGCCUUCGGGUUGUAAACCCCUGUCAGGUGGGAAGAACACUCCUGCUUUAACAGAGCUGGGGAUGACGCUACCACCAGAGGAAGCGCCAGCUAACUUCGUGCCAGCAGCUGCGGUAAGACGAAGGGCGCAAGCGUUGCUCGGAAUCACUGGGCGUAAAGGGUCCGCAGGCGGCCUGGUAACUCAGGCGUGAAAUCCUACGGCUUAACCGUGGACGUGCGUCCGAAAGUGCCAGGCUCGAGUGCGGGAAGGGAGAGUGGAACUGCGGGUGGAGCGGUGAAAUGCGUAGAUAUCCGCAGGAACACCGGAGGCGAAAGCGACUCUCUAGCCCGCUACUGACGCUGAGGGACAAAAGCCAGGGUAGCGAACG
RNAcentral lists this ribosomal RNA (426 nucleotides) under uncultured bacterium. RNAcentral's name for it is "bacterial SSU rRNA". It matches the Rfam family "Bacterial small subunit ribosomal RNA", at positions 355 to 774 of the family's 1533-position model. The record is from RNAcentral.